UAAAUACUACCUCCGUCCCAAUUUAGUUGUCGCAGAAAUGGAUAAAAAUGGAUGUAUCUAUAUCUAAAAUACGUUAAGAUACAUCCAUUUCUGCGACAAGUAAUUCCGGAUGGAGGGAGUAAUAC
Molecule: non-coding RNA, 125 nt
Organism: Triticum aestivum (bread wheat)
Lineage: Eukaryota; Viridiplantae; Streptophyta; Magnoliopsida; Poales; Poaceae
Source: Rfam